AGGUAUGGAAGCCCAGAGCUCCAGGAUCACCACAGCUGCCCAAUCAUCCAGAAAGAGGUGUGGAGAGGGAAACAAGCAUGACGCGGACCGCCACGAGGUUUCUCCCUGAUGGACGGGGAAGUCUUCUUUGUGGAAGACACUGAGCCACACUAAGAAGCCGCCAGGCUUCUCAGAGACGGGGCAGACACAGCAAGAGGGAGGUCAGAGCAGAGGCCAGAGCCCAGGCAGGAUACGGGGGGGCCAUGCCACCACCACCGGCAUCCGGGGAGGAGUGUCAAACGGGUGACUCAGCCAGGAAGGCCAGCCUUUGAGAGACAGACAUGCUUGCCCCAUCCCCUUGCCGGCUUCCUUCUCCGUCCCUG
Molecule: long non-coding RNA, 362 nt
Filed under: Homo sapiens (human)
Lineage: Eukaryota; Metazoa; Chordata; Mammalia; Primates; Hominidae
Description: HSALNT0397696
Source: RNAcentral